CCUACGGGGUGCAGCAGUGAGGAAUAUUGGUCAAUGGCCGCAGGGCUGAACCAGCCAAGUCGCGUGAGGGAUGACGGUCCUAUGGAUUGUAAACCUCUUUUGUCAGGGCGCAAAGGGCGCCACGUGUGGCGCUUUGCGAGUACCUGAAGAAAAAGCAUCGGCUAACUCCGUGCCAGCAGCCGCGGUAAUACGGAGGAUGCGAGCGUUAUACGGAUUUAUUGGGUUUAAAGGGUGCGCAGGCGGAAUGUCAAGUCAGCGGUAAAAUUUCGGGGCUCAACCCCGUCGUGCCGUUGAAACUGGCGUUCUUGAGUGAGCGAGAAGUAUGCGGAAUGCGUGGUGGAGCGGUGAAAUGCAUAGAUAUCACGCAGAACUCCGAUUGCGAAGGCAGCAUACCGGCGCUCAACUGACGCUCAUGCACGAAAGCGUGGGUAUCGAACAGGAUUAGAUACCCCGGUAGUC
RNAcentral lists this ribosomal RNA (459 nucleotides) under uncultured bacterium. Its description in RNAcentral is "partial 16S ribosomal RNA". It matches the Rfam family "Bacterial small subunit ribosomal RNA", at positions 338 to 795 of the family's 1533-position model. The record is from RNAcentral.